CGCGCCAUCUUGGGUAACGGCCUGCGCAGAGGCCGUCUCCUGCGGGCGCCCGGGAGUGACCGAAGCGGAGGCCGAGGUGCGCAGCUCGCCCGGCCCUUCCCGGGAAGAGCCGGCCCGGAGGCCCCGCCAUCCCCGUGGCCUGGGAGCUCCCUGGGGACGUCACUGUGGUCGCCCCGGCGGGACCGGUGUCCCCCGACUCUGCAGAACAGAGUGAAAGAGCAAACCCGUGCACAAGCCUGCGCAUCUUUUUUAAAGCAGAACUGAUAGGACUCGUAAUAUUCACAGGGACGGAGAGCUUCCUUUCCGCAGUGCGUUUCACACCUUGUCCAAGCGAUCUGCCCUUGCCCCCGAGAGGCACCGUGGCGGAUCCCCGUGCACGUGUCAUCCAUAAAAUCCCCUGUCGCUAACUCUGCCGGAGCUCAACCGCGGCAUUUGCUGUGCGAGGCCGGGGCCCGAGCACAGUGUUCGAGCAAAUAAAAAUUUACCUGGGAAAAAAAAAAGAAAAAUCAUGAGGAGUCUAAAAGCAGCCUGAGGAACGAGCACAUUUCCCCUCCUUUAGCUGAAGUACCCUUUUUUUUUGUUGGGGAUUUGUUACACACCGCACCAUGCCUGUCCCCAGGCCCCGGCGGCAGCGCAGCUCCACACUACCCUCCAGUGGCUGAAUGUCACAGCGUGACCCUCAACGCGCGAGAAUCGCGUGUAAAACCUGCGCCCAGCAGUACCCCGAGAUACAACAUGCCAGAAAUGCAGCUGGCAAAUCCCGGUAGGGCCAUCGUUAGCAUCGACGGAGGCCUCCCUCGAAAAGAAACCGCGCACCCCGACCUCCUCGAGGCGCGGGGCGCUCACCGGCCGCUGCGGGAGGUUGACGAAGAUUUUGCAGGAGCUGAAAGCUGUGGUGUGUCACCGCGCUCAGAUUGCAGACCCGGCCCAGAGCCAGUCUGAGCGGUCAGCCGCUCCGGUAGAUGCAGAUCAUCGCUUGGCAGGUAAAAGUGUCCUGAGGUGCGUACACAUUGUAGUACACUCCGAAAACACAUGUGGAACGGGCAAAAGCACAUCUUAUACAGCAACCAUGCUUUCCAUGAGGUGAUAAAUGAGUAUUUUACUCCUGGGAGCAAAUCCAAUUUCCUUAUUCAACCGCUGGAACAAAAUAGUGUGAGAAGCACUGAGUACUUCUGUAGCUGAAAACAUCACGAUUCCCCCUAUCUAUUCCAGCACUGCAAAGAUAUCACAGAGAUUUCUACGUGUACUGCAAAUUCUGUAUAGAGGAAGGUUCUUCUCCUUUGUGGCAUGAUUUUCGGGUAAUCAAUUUUGUGAUUUAUUACCAGCUGCUUCCAGAGCCAGCAAAUGGGGAUGCUAUGUCUAUUCUCUCAAACCACUGAGUAUUUCAGGCAUUUGCACGUUCUCAUAUGUCAAGUGUUUGAACACUGUAAGUAUUUCUCCCAAUAAAAUCCUGCUAUAAUAUAUAGCAGAACAAAAGAUGGGCAGUUGUGUUUAAACUCAAAGCAAUGAUAGGAUUUAUUAUCUCCAGUUAACAGUAUGUUCUUGGUAUUCAUCUCAAAUUACAGGACUCUCCAAAAUGCCCCUCACAAUGAUCAGAAAGGCCACAGUGAGCACUACUCUUGUUACAUAAUUUUAUGGACUGCUCCAUACGGGGUUUCUGAGGGCUUUAGACUUUGCCUCCUCGUUUCCAUCGUUGGCAGCCUGCAUACGCGCCCCGGGAAUCUUUACACUCCACUGCAGCAGUGCAGAGCACUUCGAGCAGUGCAGUCCCUGCUGCUGUGGCUUGCAGGAUAUUUCUGGCAUCUGAGAAGGACCUGUCUGCCGGUGGCCACGCUGGAAGAAAAGAGCACGUAAAAGCAGCAGUCAGGUCGUCAGCUUCUCUGUCUAGACAUUUCCUGGAAAUUCCCUGGAGGUUACGAAACACAAGAGGAGAACCACUGGACUCACGCAGUGUUACAAUAAAUAAGCCCAAAUUUAUUUAGGAUA
This is a long non-coding RNA of Dromaius novaehollandiae (emu), 1986 nucleotides long. RefSeq lists it as uncharacterized. The record is from RefSeq and is a predicted model, not a curated record. The transcript has 2 exons. Lineage: Eukaryota; Metazoa; Chordata; Aves; Casuariiformes; Dromaiidae.